UUACGGGAGGCAGCAGUGGGGAAUUUUGGACAAUGGGCGCAAGCCUGAUCCAGCCAUUCCGCGUGAGUGAAGAAGGCCUUCGGGUUGUAAAGCUCUUUCGGCAGGAACGAAACGGUCCUGGUUAAUACCUGGGGCUAAUGACGGUACCUGAAGAAGAAGCACCGGCUAACUACGUGCCAGCAGCCGCGGUAAUACGUAGGGUGCGAGCGUUAAUCGGAAUUACUGGGCGUAAAGCGUGCGCAGGCGGUUUUGUAAGACAGAUGUGAAAUCCCCGGGCUCAACCUGGGAACUGCGUUUGUGACUGCAAGACUCGAGUGUGGCAGAGGGGGGUGGAAUUCCACGUGUAGCAGUGAAAUGCGUAGAGAUGUGGAGGAACACCGAUGGCGAAGGCAGCCCCCUGGGUCAACACUGACGCUCAUGCACGAAAGCGUGGGUAGCAAACAGGAUUAGAUACCCUGGUAGG
RNAcentral lists this ribosomal RNA (463 nucleotides) under uncultured bacterium. Its description in RNAcentral is "bacterial SSU rRNA". It matches the Rfam family "Bacterial small subunit ribosomal RNA", at positions 339 to 794 of the family's 1533-position model. The record is from RNAcentral.